AUGAAGCUGGAUUCGCUAGUAAUCGCGCAUCAGCCACGGCGCGGUGAAUACGUUCCCGGGCCCUUGUACACACCGCCCGUCAAGCCAUGGAAGCCGGGAGUGCCUGAAGUGCGUGAGCGCAAGCAGCGCCCUAAGGUAAACCGGUGACUGGGCUAAGUCGUAACAAGGUAAC
RNAcentral lists this ribosomal RNA (172 nucleotides) under uncultured bacterium. RNAcentral describes it as "partial 16S ribosomal RNA". It matches the Rfam family "Bacterial small subunit ribosomal RNA", at positions 1320 to 1500 of the family's 1533-position model. The record is from RNAcentral.